CUGAAAACUGAACAAGUGGAGUCCUUGAAGUCAAGCCAACUCUGCACUGAGCCUUCGAAAUGAAGAGAUAGGUAGAGCAGGUCAUGUGCAAAGUAAACACAAGACCUUCUUAUUUACCAAUGACA
Molecule: non-coding RNA, 125 nt
Organism: Suncus etruscus (white-toothed pygmy shrew)
Lineage: Eukaryota; Metazoa; Chordata; Mammalia; Eulipotyphla; Soricidae
Product: small Cajal body-specific RNA 15
Exons: 1
Source: RefSeq, a predicted model, not a curated record